GACGAACGCUGGCGGCGUGCCUAAUACAUGCAAGUAGAACGCUGAAGGAGGAGCUUGCUCUUCUGGAUGAGUUGCGAACGGGUGAGUAACGCGUAGGUAACCUGCCUGGUAGCGGGGGAUAACUAUUGGAAACGAUAGCUAAUACCGCAUAACAGUAGAUGUUGCAUGACAUUUACUUAAAAGGUGCAAUUGCAUCACUACCAGAUGGACCUGCGUUGUAUUAGCUAGUUGGUGGGGUAACGGCUCACCAAGGCGACGAUACAUAGCCGACCUGAGAGGGUGAUCGGCCACACUGGGACUGAGACACGGCCCAGACUCCUACGGGAGGCAGCAGUAGGGAAUCUUCGGCAAUGGACGGAAGUCUGACCGAGCAACGCCGCGGGAGUGAAGAAGGUUUUCGGAUCGUAAAGCUCUGUUGUAAGGGAAGAACGGGUGGGGGGGGGGAAAGUUCACACUGUGAGGGGAUCUUACCAGAAAGGGACGGCUAACUACGU
RNAcentral lists this ribosomal RNA (494 nucleotides) under uncultured bacterium. RNAcentral's name for it is "partial 16S ribosomal RNA". It matches the Rfam family "Bacterial small subunit ribosomal RNA", at positions 28 to 506 of the family's 1533-position model. The record is from RNAcentral.